This 221-nucleotide unclassified non-coding RNA is filed under the name fungal sp. RNAcentral describes it as "partial internal transcribed spacer region". The stretch from base 1 to 46 matches the Rfam family "Eukaryotic small subunit ribosomal RNA", at positions 1786 to 1831 of the family's 1831-position model. Lineage: Eukaryota; Fungi. The record is from RNAcentral.
AAGUCGUAACAAGGUUUCCGUAGGUGAACCUGCGGAAGGAUCAUUAGAAGGUUUUUUUUAGGUCGCUUAGGCGGCCGAAUGGAUUACAAAAUCCCCCCCACCGACGCACUUAUUGAAAGGACUAUUUAAACCAAACCUUUUUGACUAAAUUUUUGACUGACCUUUACUUUUAACGAGUAAAAAACUUAAUACAACUUUCAACAACGGAUCUCUUGGCUCUC